Molecule: long non-coding RNA, 1537 nt
Filed under: Piliocolobus tephrosceles (Ugandan red Colobus)
Lineage: Eukaryota; Metazoa; Chordata; Mammalia; Primates; Cercopithecidae
Description: lncRNA (ENSPTEG00000005399.1)
Source: RNAcentral
UAAAGGGGCUAUAUAAAAACAUUCUUAAUUUUUUGUUGUCAUCUUUUUUUGAAAAUAUUGAGGAGCAACAACUAAAAACAUCAUUAAUAAGAGGGAAAGUUAAUUUGCAACAUGUGAAUAUAAAAAAAAACUUUUUCGACACGAUAUUUUUACCAUUUACUAUUAAGUAUGGGUACAUCCGUUCUUUGGAUCUUCAGGUAAAGUAUAAAACGCUCUAAAAAUUGAGAAAAAAAAAAAAAAGAAAGGAAGGAAAGAAAACAUAUGUUAAUAAUAAACACGUGAUAAGUCUGCUCUUACUCUGUCUGUGUUUACACUAGUGCUUAUACAUUUAUGUCUAUGUUAUUUUGAAUGCACUAAUGACUUACUUUUUUUUUUUUUUGUUUAUGUGACUAGUGCUAAUUAUUAGAUUUUUUUUUUUUUUUUUUUUUUUUUUUUUUUUUAAACUUAAUCGAAUAAACAGAUACCACUAUUGUACCUUUUACAAAAAGCUAACCUAAUCAUAAAAGACGUAGUGGUAAUUGUCGAACCGAAAAGAUUUUUUGACGUUGACAUAACAGAAAAAAUAAAUGAAACAAAAGAAUUUAAAAAAAAUAACUUAAGAAUCGAAAAUUUAAUUUUAAAUGAUUACGAUUUGAAUGAAAAGAUUAAUAAAGGGUUAAGUUAUUUAUCUUAUGAGUUUUAUAAUAAUUUAACUAUCAUUAUUGAAAAUGUAGAAAUUAUUUUAGAAUGCUCUAAGUACACUAAUAAUAUAUUUGGUUUGUCUAUAAGUAGUAUAAGCACAGUUAGAGAAAAAUGUAUUAGUAGCAGUAGUAGUAGUAGUAGUAGUAGAAGUAGUAGAAGUAGAAGUAGAAGUAGAAGUAGAAAUAGAAGUAGAAGUAGAAGUAGAAGUAGAAGUAGAAGUAGAAGUAGAAAUAGAAGUAGAAGUAGAAGUAGAAGUAGAAGUAGUAAUGUAGGUAGUAGUAGUACACCUAAUAGUAGUGAUAGUAGUAACAUAAAUAGGAACAAUAAAAGCAAGAAAAUAAAAAAAAAAUUCAUAUUUAAUAAUAUAACAUUAUAUAGCGAUGAUAAAAAAUGCAAAUAUUUAAUUAAUAAAAUAAUAAAAAAAAAUAGAAAAGGUAAAAAUAAGAAUAAUGAAAAUGAACUGAAGAAUAUAAAUAAUGAGAAAAAAACGUAUAAUAAAAUAAAAAAUAUUUGCGUUGAAUUUCAAAAAAAAAAAAAAUAUAUUAUUUCUAAAUUACCAUGUCUCACAUUAACAACCAUUUUUAAUAUAAAUAAUCAAAACGAAAAAUAUCGUAAUAAAAAUAUAAAUUAUACUUUUGAAAAAAAAAAUAUACCUUUUGACAUAAUCUGUUCACAUUGUCAUAGAUAUUUGUAUAACUGUAAAGAAGUAAAAAAAGAUUACACAACUUUUGAAAAUGUAUUUAAAAAAAAAGAAGAUAUUAAAAAAAGAAAUCAACAUCUGUGUAAUUUGUUAAUGGGUAAUAAUAGUAAUAAUAGCAGUAGUAGUAGUAGUAGUAGUAGUAAUAGUAGUAAUAAU